This 1057-nucleotide long non-coding RNA is filed under the name Lupinus angustifolius (narrow-leaved blue lupine). RNAcentral's name for it is "long non-coding RNA (LANG_LNC003472)". The record is from RNAcentral. Lineage: Eukaryota; Viridiplantae; Streptophyta; Magnoliopsida; Fabales; Fabaceae.
GUUCACUUCAUAUUAUAUUUCAUCAGUAAGAGUAUGUAUUUCUAUAGAAGUAUGUUCAAGAAGAUAUCAGACGCCAGACAACAAAUCUCAACAACUUGAAGUGUUAAAAGUGCUAAACUUGUGGUUCCACGUGUAUCGCCUGGACAUCCACACAAACAACAUCAUUGCAAGAUGAAGGUAAAUCAUUUGAAGUCUGCAAGCUUGACACAAGCAUGGACAAAUCCUUGAGAUAUGACCAUAACAUCCACAUUUGCUACAAAUAACAUGAAGACCUUCAUACUCGAUCUUAUGUCAAUGCCCCUGAACACAAACCUUACCUACCACGGUUUGGCUAAGAUCAAUAUCCACAUAUACUCUUGCGAAAUGACCUCUUGCAAAUCGUUGUGUGUUCUGAUCUAUCUUGAUUGGUCUACCAAUCGCAGAAACAAUAGGAAAUAGGAAACACUUGUCAUAGAACAACAAAUUCAAGCCUGUGAGUCGAAUCCAAACCAAAGUCUUUGACAUAGUCGAUGUAGUUGAAUCGAAUUCAGGAGACCAAUUAGUAAUAGCCACAUAGUGGUCAAAUCAUCCAAGGACCACAUUGAAGGACUUUAUCUCUAUCUUCAGGAAGAACGAAUUUAAGCAUAAAGUACCAUUAUCAAUGUCCAGUAAAUCAAAGUCACUGGACAUUUUCCAUGCCAAUUUCAAACGCUCCCGCAUAAUCUUGAAACCAAGUUUCAUGCCAACGAUUGAAACAAUGAGAGCACCCCUCCAUUCAGUGCUAUAUUCGGCAAUGACCUUAGCAUUGAAUGUAACCUUGGGAAUGAGUCUAUUUUUGUCAAUCAAAUCAACAUGAGCUAAGCUAUUGACAAUGAGAUCGAUAUCCUCUCUUACAUGAAUGGGAUGCUAAAACCAUGUCACGAAGGAUAAACUCUUGCAUGCAACAAUGGGUCCUGCGUGCAUGGUCACAAUUAAUUGUCUCCUUCAAAUUUGGAGGCACAUUUUGUGCAUUCAUGCAUGCUGAACUGGGAAUAGCACCCGCCUUAAUAGAGCACUUUAAAUGAGUUGAAUGAGAUUG